RNAcentral lists this ribosomal RNA (468 nucleotides) under uncultured bacterium. RNAcentral describes it as "partial 16S ribosomal RNA". It matches the Rfam family "Bacterial small subunit ribosomal RNA", at positions 28 to 507 of the family's 1533-position model. The record is from RNAcentral.
GACGAACGCUGGCGGCGUGCUUAAUACAUGCAAGUCGAACGGACAGGCCCUGCGUUUGUGGGGUGCUCGAGUGGCGAAGGGGGGAGUAAAACGUGAGGAACAUGCACUUGAAAGUGGGAGAAAUUCAGGAGAAAGGGGCGAAUACAGGGUAGGAGAUCCUGCAGCGUGGGGGGGGUUGGAAAGUUUCGGCGGUUGUGGCUUGGUUCGUGGGUUAUCAGCUUGAUGGGGGGGUAGUGGGUUACCAAGGCUAUGACGGGUAGGAGGCCUGAGAGGGUGACGGGCCACACUGGGACUGACGGACGGCCCAGGCUCCUACGGGUGGCAGCAGUGGGGAAUCCUGCCCAAUGGGCGCCAGCCUGAUGCAGCAACGCCGCGUGUGGUAUAACGGCCUUCGGGUUGUAAACCGCUUUCGCCUGUGACGAAGCGCGUGUGACGGUAAUGGGUACAGAAGCCCCGGCUAACUACGUG